Molecule: ribosomal RNA, 525 nt
Filed under: uncultured bacterium
Lineage: Bacteria
Description: bacterial SSU rRNA
Rfam family: Bacterial small subunit ribosomal RNA
Source: RNAcentral
UGGGGAAUAUUGGACAAUGGGGGCAACCCUGAUCCAGCAAUUCUGUGUGCACGAAGAAGGUUUUCGGAUCGUAAAGUGCUUUCAGCAGGGAGGAAGGAAGUGACUGUACCUGCAGAAGAAGCGACGGCUAAAUACGUGCCAGCAGCCGCGGUAAUACGUAUGUCGCGAGCGUUAUCCGGAAUUAUUGGGCAUAAAGGGCAUCUAGGCGGCCCUGUAAGUCUAGGGUGAAAACCUGCGGCUCAACCGCAGGCCUGCCCCGGAAACUACAAGGCUAGAGUAUCGGAGAGGUGGACGGAACUGCACGAGUAGAGGUGAAAUUCGUAGAUAUGUGCAGGAAUGCCGAUGAUGAAGAUAGUUCACUGGACGGUAACUGACGCUGAAGUGCGAAAGCUAGGGGAGCAAACAGGAUUAGAUACCCUGGUAGUCCUAGCUGUAAACGAUGAUUACUGGGUGUGGGCAUGAAGAGUGUCCGUGCCGAAGCAAAUGCGAUAAGUAAUCCGCCUGGGGAGUACGGCCGCAAGGCUG